This 253-nucleotide ribosomal RNA is filed under the name uncultured bacterium. RNAcentral describes it as "partial 16S ribosomal RNA". It matches the Rfam family "Bacterial small subunit ribosomal RNA", at positions 524 to 776 of the family's 1533-position model. The record is from RNAcentral.
UACGUAGGGGGCAAGCGUUGUCCGGAAUCAUUGGGCGUAAAGAGCGCGUAGGCGGCCCUGUAAGUCCGCUGUGAAAGUCAAGGGCUCAACCCUUGAAUGCCGGUGGAUACUGCAGGGCUAGAGUCCGGAAGAGGCGAGUGGAAUUCCUGGUGUAGCGGUGAAAUGCGCAGAUAUCAGGAGGAACACCUAUUGCGAAGGCAGCUCGCUGGGACGUUACUGACGCUGAGACGCGAAAGCGUGGGGAGCAAACAGG